UUUGCUGACUGUAUCUGUCAAGCUGACUACACAGACUAUAGUAGCCAAAGAUAAGUUGUAGAAAGUGUGUUUCAGAGUUGAAUAUAUGAAUUAAAGCAUUGGCACAGUGAAUGGCAGCUGAAAAAUUUUGACCCUUGUUUCUGGAAGUGAAAUGUUAGAUGGUUUGAUGAAGUGCCACAGAGAUUAUCGCUUAAAGAAUGCGUGCAGGCCAACCACCAACACAAGAUAUUAAAAGAGCAAUGAAAAUGAAGAUUUAACUAUAAAGAAAAAUCUGAGUAAUAUUAUUACUCAUAA
Molecule: long non-coding RNA, 294 nt
Organism: Stegodyphus dumicola
Lineage: Eukaryota; Metazoa; Arthropoda; Arachnida; Araneae; Eresidae
Source: RefSeq, a predicted model, not a curated record